GUGGGGAAUAUUGGGCAAUGGGGGGAACCCUGACCCAGCGACGCCGCGUGGGUGAAGAAAUCCUUCGGGAUGUAAAGCCCUGUUGUAUGGGAAGAGCGGAAGACGGUACCAUACGAGGAAGCCCCGGCAAACUACGUGCCAGCAGCCGCGGUAAUACGUAGGGGGCAAGCGUUGUCCGGAAUUACUGGGCGUAAAGCGCACGCAGGCUGAAUUAUAAGUCGGUAGUAAAAGGCGGGGGCUCAACUUCCGUAUAUCUAUCGAUACUGUAAAUCUAGAGUAUGUGAGAGGGAAGCGGAAUUCCCGGUGUAGUGGUGAAAUGCGUAGAUAUCGGGAGGAACACCAGUGGCGAAGGCGGCUUCCUGGCACAAUACUGACGCUCAUGUGCGAAAGCUAGGGCAGCGAACGGGAUUAGAAACCCUGGUAGUCCC
Molecule: ribosomal RNA, 428 nt
Filed under: uncultured bacterium
Lineage: Bacteria
Description: partial 16S ribosomal RNA
Rfam family: Bacterial small subunit ribosomal RNA
Source: RNAcentral